GGGGAUUUAGCUCAGUGGAAGAGCGCCUGCCUAGCAAGCACAAGGCCCUGGGUUCGGUCCCCAGCUUCG
RNAcentral lists this transfer RNA (69 nucleotides) under Rattus norvegicus (Norway rat). It matches the Rfam family "tRNA". Rfam says of the family: Transfer RNA (tRNA) molecules are approximately 80 nucleotides in length. Their secondary structure includes four short double-helical elements and three loops (D, anti-codon, and T loops). Further hydrogen bonds mediate the characteristic L-shaped molecular structure. tRNAs have two regions of fundamental functional importance: the anti-codon, which is responsible for specific mRNA codon recognition, and the 3' end, to which the tRNAs corresponding amino acid is attached (by aminoacyl-tRNA synthetases). tRNAs cope with the degeneracy of the genetic code in two manners: having more than one tRNA (with a specific anti-codon) for a particular amino acid; and 'wobble' base-pairing, i.e. permitting non-standard base-pairing at the 3rd anti-codon position. Lineage: Eukaryota; Metazoa; Chordata; Mammalia; Rodentia; Muridae. The record is from Rfam by way of RNAcentral.